Long non-coding RNA from Cyanistes caeruleus (blue tit), 1581 nucleotides. The record is from Ensembl. Lineage: Eukaryota; Metazoa; Chordata; Aves; Passeriformes; Paridae.
GCUCAUGCAGACAUGUUUCAGUAUAGCUGUGCAUUGAUAUUUGUUCUGAGUCGUGUGUCUUUUCCCAUGUGUGCAAUUCCCUGUCUCAGUCUCUGUGCUUCCCUGGAUUUCCUUUCCAUUUCUCCAUCUAUGCUGUGCGCAGUUACCUGGAUUUGUGCAUGUACGUACCUCCCUGCUUUUAUUGUUUGAGGGUUGUAUUUUUAAUGGGGUGGGUGCUGGUGAAAUUGUUCAUCAUUUUGCUUUGUAUUUAUCUUUCAGUGUUUUCCCUAUGUUUGCAUAAAGUAGAUGCAGACUACAAUUUGGUGAUGAAUCCUAUGAAUACUAAUCUUAGGCUACCCUUGACCCUAGGGUCAGCUAAAGAUCAAAACCAAACCAUUUAAUAUUUUCCUUUUGCAGAUCAAUAGAAGCAUAAAUUCACUCUCAAUGACAACUAUAAUUUCAAACAGAUCUAUAGGAGGCAUGUAUGCAUUUCCAGGAUGAGCUGCUCAUGUGCCUGUUGGGGAGCACAAGAAAAAGAGUUUCUCUGUUGUUGUGGGUUUGGGGGAUUUUUUUUACCAUUUAAUCUCUUUUGCCUUUUUUCUUUUAUUGCUCUGAAAUGCUAUUUUCAGCAGCGCCUGUCAUAUAAAUAUCUCUUGUUUUUCUUCUCCUCUUUCCCUCCUAGUGAAAAGGGCAGGGGACCUAUUGAAAAUUCUGCUUUAUCUCUUUCAGGAGAGUUCAAGUGCGGGUCGAACAAUCGAUUCCUCCUCCUUUUCUUUUUCAAGUUUCCUGUCGUUCUUUUGCCCAGAUCAGCACUGAAGGAAAAUAGGAAGCGUUGCCUGGAGUCUGGGAUUGACGUUCCUGCUGGACAAACUCCAGGCUAAUGAAGCAAGCUCGAGCCCUAUAAUUCACGGCGAGCUGCUUUGAUGGAGCACUUUCAGUGUUAACAGUGUGAUCGGUGCUUUUUGGAGCUAAUGCCUCACUGAUAUUAACAGCCAUGCCAUAGAGCAAAAUCUGCAAUGUAAAAGUGAGUAGCUUGCUAAAUAUUUACAGGCAUGCACAUCUCGCUGUCCCGUUCAUUUCCUUGACUUUCAUGAAGAGGGAUGAGAAAGGAGAUACCAGAGAAUGGUCCCCUCUGAGGUAUAAAUGCACUAGAUCCAGGCUGGCUCCCCAGCUGCUGAUAGCAAGACCUUGAGCUGAGAUCCCACUCCUUCCUCCCCAGCAGUUCAUAAAAUUAAGUAAAGCCACCACAUGCAGUGGGCACGCUUUGGCCUGAACUUUCUGAGCAGGGAGAGAGGAAUAGUUCCCAAAAGGAGAAGAGCCUUAUUAUGAACUGUGUGUAGGUCACUGAGGUAUUUCACUACAGAUCAGCAUAGAAGCUAGUUAGAUCUCCAAACUCCCAAAAGUUGAUCCCAGGCACAGCUGUUCCCAGAAGAAGGCAGCAUUCCUGGAGAAUUAAAGAUGGGAACCAAUUAAGAAGACUUCUCAGUUCUGCAUCCAGCUCUGCCACUUACGUGCUGGAUGAUUUUGGGCAAGCCUCUUCCCAUCUCUGCACCUCGGUUUCUCCUGACAGAAUUUAAAAUAAAUACACGGACGGGUGUAGCA